AGGAAUUUCAAAACGCGCAUCUAUUUAAAUGACAGUGACCUGCCAUAAAUCAAGUGGGAAACAAAAGGGGAAAACAGUUUAAGUGAGAGAGAAGUUGAAGUGGAGGAAAAAUUAAUCAAAACAGUUCUCAAAAAAAACUUCAUCGUAAGAGCCUGUGAAAAAAAAAAUUUCGGGCCUACAGCAUCUCCAUGGCAACAGAGAACAAGCACAUGUUGGAUACCAAAAUCAUAAAAGCCCAAUCUGGUCAGAGAAACAAGGCGCAGGAGGAGAGCCGCGUCCUACCCAGGGCACCCCGGAGCAGAGGACCGCGAUCGCUGCCGGGUCAUUGGCUCCAUCCCGGCUCUCCGGCCCCAUCCCGGCUCUGCGUCCCCAUCGCGCUGUCGGCCGGGCUCUGCCUGGACUCUUCCCGCCAGGCAACAGCCCAGCGUCGUGCACGGGUGCUCUUAUUCCCCAAACUCUUGGACUUUUAAAUCAAUUAUUAAAUUUUAAAAAUCCAAAA
Long non-coding RNA from Pipra filicauda (Wire-tailed manakin), 499 nucleotides. RefSeq lists it as uncharacterized. The record is from RefSeq and is a predicted model, not a curated record. NCBI's taxonomy places the organism in Eukaryota, Metazoa, Chordata, Aves, Passeriformes, Pipridae. The transcript is spliced from 2 exons.